AAGUCGAACGAAGCACUUAUCUUUGAUUCUUCGGAUGAAGAGGUUUGUGACUGAGUGGCGGACGGGUGAGUAACGCGUGGGUAACCUGCCUCAUACAGGGGAAUAACAGUUAGAAAUGACUGCUAAUACCGCAUAAGACCACGGAGCCGCAUGGCUCCGUGGGAAAAACUCCGGUGGUAUGAGAUGGACCCGCGUCUGAUUAGGUAGUUGGUGGGGUAACGGCCUACCAAGCCAACGAUCAGUAGCCGACCUGAGAGGGUGACCGGCCACAUUGGGACUGAGACACGGCCCAAACUCCUACGGGAGGCAGCAGUGGGGAAUAUUGCACAAUGGGGGAAACCCUGAUGCAGCGACGCCGCGUGAGCGAAGAAGUAUUUCGGUAUGUAAAGCUCUAUCAGCAGGGAAGAAAAUGACGGUACCUGACUAAGAAGCACCGGCUAAAUACGUGCCAGCAGCCGCGGUAAUACGUAUGGUGCAAGCGUUAUCCGGAUUUACUGGGUGUAAAGGGAGCGUAGACGGCUGUGUAAGUCUGAAGUGAAAGCCCGGGGCUCAACCCCGGGACUGCUUUAGAAACUAUGCAGCUAGAGUGUCGGAGAGGUAAGUGGAAUUCCCAGUGUAGCGGUGAAAUGCGUAGAUAUUGGGAGGAACACCAGUGGCGAAGGCGGCUUACUGGACGAUGACUGACGUUGAGGCUCGAAAGCGUGGGGAGCAAACAGGAUUAGAUACCCUGGUAGUCCAC
This 739-nucleotide ribosomal RNA is filed under the name uncultured bacterium. RNAcentral's name for it is "bacterial SSU rRNA". It matches the Rfam family "Bacterial small subunit ribosomal RNA", at positions 59 to 798 of the family's 1533-position model. The record is from RNAcentral.